Molecule: non-coding RNA, 477 nt
Organism: Coffea arabica (coffee)
Lineage: Eukaryota; Viridiplantae; Streptophyta; Magnoliopsida; Gentianales; Rubiaceae
Source: RefSeq, a predicted model, not a curated record
GCUUCAUGGACGGCUAGACAGCAACAAAGAACAACCGAAACCUUCAACAUUUCCUCUUUCAAAACUCAUGCAAAUCACCACCAAAUCUUCUCAAAAUUUAGCACCACUUAGCCUAAGCCUUGGAGUUCACAUCUAGCUAAAAAGGGGAGGAUUUGCACGGCUCACUUAGGAGCAAGGAAGAACCGAAUCUCUGUCUUAAACAUCAACCAAGAGCACACACGAGAACCUCCAAGAGGACCCUACCGUGGAAGUUUGAACUCUCUCUCCAACCUACUUGCUUGCAUAACUUGGUGUGAACUCGGAGGUGAAAUGGAGAAACCCUCCUGAUGUACUUUUGUUUAGGGUUUGCUAUUACUCUUGGUUAUGCCUUUGGUUUUGGAUUGUACUUUUGGGUAUGGAAAUGUAACUUUUGGGGCGAAAUGUAUUUUGUAUACCGACGUGUGGAUUGAAUAAUGGAUGAUGAUUAUUAAGCUUGAA